This 278-nucleotide ribosomal RNA is filed under the name uncultured bacterium. RNAcentral describes it as "partial 16S ribosomal RNA". It matches the Rfam family "Bacterial small subunit ribosomal RNA", at positions 28 to 334 of the family's 1533-position model. The record is from RNAcentral.
GAUGAACGCUAGCGGCAGGCCUAACACAUGCAAGUCGAACGAACUCUUCGGAGUUAGUGGCAGACGGGUGAGUAACGCGUGGGAACAUACCUUUCGGUACGGAACAACAGUUGGAAACGACUGCUAAUACCGUAUGCGCCCUAUGGGGGAAAGAUUUAUCGCCGAGAGAUUGGCCCGCGUUGGAUUAGCUAGUUGGUGGGGUAAUGGCCUACCAAGGCGACGAUCCAUAGCUGGUCUGAGAGGAUGAUCAGCCACACUGGGACUGAGACACGGCCCAG